Molecule: long non-coding RNA, 4071 nt
Organism: Choloepus didactylus (southern two-toed sloth)
Lineage: Eukaryota; Metazoa; Chordata; Mammalia; Pilosa; Megalonychidae
Exons: 3
Source: RefSeq, a predicted model, not a curated record
CCUUCGUCGCCCCGUCGCUUGGGAGCCAAAGGUAACACUAACGUCCCGCCGACGGGCCUUGGAAAAAAGCAAAGCAUUCCCUGCAAGCGGGUUUUCUCCUCAAGUUAAGUUUUCUUAAGGGUUUUUCUUCACUAUUCCCAAAUCAAGACAGUUUUCCUGCUGAGGCCUUGAAGAUAAGUCUAGAUUUCUCUGAGGUGAAGGUGUUCCUGAAGAGUGUGGUUAUUCUUCAGUCAGCUACUCAGAAAAGAGAUUGAAACUUCACUUUCACAAUCCUUCACUUCGCUGCAUGCUGUCUUCUUGUUCUCACUGGAAACUGAGCCACGGUUGGAAAUGUGUAUCUUCAGACUUCAUUGAGGAACUCCAGAUUGAGACAUGCUGGGAUGUGGAUUGAGUCCAUGGUCAGAGAAGAUGGAUUAAAUGGAAACAAAACAGGAAAUGUAUGCUUGAAGUCUAACAGCAGCUGCUGAGGGUCAUUCCGCUCUUGUAGUUGUGCCUGUGGGAAGAGUAAGACCAUGCAAAAUACUUACUACACCUAAAAAUAGCCAGUUUAAAAGACUUUGCAGAAGUGAAUUGGCACAUUUCAUGGAAAGACUGCUGUAAAUAAUCGGGUAGGACUUCAGGACCAGGAAAACAUGAUCUCCCUAUACCUGAAGAUACUUAGUGGGGAGAGAAGCACUGCUUUAGGUUUUUGUAGAUCAGGUGACUGUAAGCUCUCUCCUAAUCCUAGCAUUCUUUUAAAAGCUUUUCAUCUAAAGUAGAACGGAAAACACAGUUCAGGUGCAAAUCAUGUGGAAAGGCACCACAGUGAAGUGGGUUAAAGGCUAGGGCUCUAAGAUUGGCACCAGUUUGGACAAAUCAUCGAACCACUCUAUGCCUCAGUUUCCUCACUGGUAAAAUGGGAUGAGGCGAGUGCCCUCCUCAUAAGGCUGUGAGGAUUGAGAGUUGACAUUUGUGAAGCACAUACAACAGUCUCUGGCACAUGAUAAGUGCUAGGUUGGCUAUUAUUACUGAUGGCUUUAUCAUCUCCUUUGCUCCUCCUGCCUGUGCAUUGACCAUUAACCCCUGACUGAUGAAUUCCAGGUGGGAGUGGUGCUCUUACAGAGACCACCCAUUAGGACUAUGGUUAACUGUGAGAGAACUGUGUGAAGAGGAAAAAAUACAUAUAUCCUCAUUUGGGGAAAGCAUAGGCCAUCCUGUACUAACUUGAGGUUAGAAAUGGUUUCCCUUGUUGGGGAAAGACACUAUCACUGCUUCAGAUAGUGACAAUAUUUGAUAUGUUGCAACUUUGUAGAAGUUUCACCAUUUCUCUGUUUCAGAGAUAAGACCAAGGGACAUUACUCUGGUAAACACAUCCAGUAGUUGGAUGUUAUUGCUGAGUCUAACACACCUAGCACCUCGAUUUUUCAUAAGCUUUGAAGCAGAGGCUGAGGUCAGUAAAUAUGUGGUAGCUUUUGAAAAGUUCUUGGAAAUGAGAUUUUAGGAUGAAAUUAGUGUGAGUGCAGGAUUAUGAGGUUAUUCUUCAGUGACAAGAAGUACCUACAGUUGUCCACGUUUUCAUCAAUUACUGGGAUAAUGAAAUGGAGAGCACUGUUUAAAUUUCCCAUUGUUGAUAAAAAAUAGCCAUGUGAUUGGCACUUUGAAAGAUGGACCACAAUUUUAAGGUAUGACAGUUUGAAAAAAAGCAGUUUGAAAUAAUAGGAAAAGAAGUUUAAAAGGGACAAGGAUGUUUAGGGAGGAAUAAGCAAAAAACCUUACUAACCGAAGAUACCAUAUGAUGGCUUUGAUGACAGAAUAUCUUUGGGACCACUAAAAGCUCACAUUCAGCUCAUGCUGAGCCUUGCUGUGUUAUAAACCUAUCACAGCAUAUGAAAACAUAUACAAAAUGUAAAGUGAUGGGAGGCUCUGAAAAAAAUAAUUUUAUAGCAUUUAAGGUGCUUUUAAUUUCUGUACAUUAGUUAGAUGUAGGCUGUACUAAAGGAUUUGAAGAAUUUGUAAAGGAUUUAGGCAAGUAUGAAGAGACCAAAAAGAAAAGUUAAAUAUUACCUAUAUUAUUACAAUUCAACAGCAAAGGUGUGUAUAUAUUUAAUUAUUUAAAAUUAAAUAUAUUGAUGGUAGUUAUUUCACAGGGAUCCUCUUUGAAUCCUUUGAUGAGUCUAACAUCCCCCUCAAAUAUAUGUUUUUAAAGGUCAAUAUAUACUGCCCACAGUGUCUAAGCAAAUAGUUUGCUUAAACAAGCAACUUAUAUAUACCAUGUAAAUCCUUCAUAUGAGUUGUAGUAUAGGGGGUUGGAAUGAUUGUUUCUAUUUUCUCUGAGCACUGUAUUUGGAGAAAUAGAACUUCUGGAGAAAUAGAACUUUUUAAACUUAUCAGUGGUUAAAAAGAAAGAAAGAAAAAAAUUUUGAUAGAAUUGCCAGGCACUGUGCUUGGUUACUGAGGAAGAUUCUGAAGCUGACUAUGUAUCUUCAGAGACAAUAUCUAACCCUUAACCUCCAUUACAUAAACCUUCAGUCUGAUUUGGCACAUAUUCUUUGACCACUGACCUAGAUCCUCUUCUUGUAAACAGUGCUGCUGUCAACUUACAGGCAGUUAUUUAAAAUCAGAUAAGACUUAUCAAAGUGCAAGUCUGUACCAUUAGAAGGUACAAGGUCAUAUUUCUGAGUGGGUUCUUUUCUGUCAUCAAACUCUUCCUCUCCCUUCAGCAGUUGCCUAUACAUGUGUCCUAACUGGGUCCUUUCAGUCAGCGCCCCCUCCUUCCUGAAAGAUCUAUGUUGGUGAGUCUCUGCCUGCUUCUUUCUGUAGUGUGUGUCUUUAAUAAUCCAUUGCAUUGUCCCCACUGCCCUUAAGGGAACAACCUUUAGUCUGACUCAGCAUUCCUUCCUUCCCUUUGGCCUCACUAUUCUCUCAUAAAUAUGCUAAAGUUAACUUAUUCUUUGCCAUAGCUGUUUUCAGACCUGGAGCUCUGACUUUUUUUUUUUUUUUUUCAGGCUCUAAAUUUCAGGCUCUUGACAUUGAAAUACUAUAAGAGUAUUUCAAAGGGAAUAGCUUCCUAUAUCAAAGGCCUAUGUUUUCUCAAGGUUCUUUACUGUCCCUUUUCCUGACUUCUCCUCUGAUCACUUUCUAUUAUUUCUUUUAAUCUUUGUCUCUUGUUGGCAUCAUUUCACUGGCUGAAGAGGAUUAAAAGUUUGAGAAAGUAAUGUGUUUCCUGAAGGUGUACCUCACCUCUCACAAUGGGAGAAACGGUCACCAUUUUUCUGAGUAAUCUCUAUGAGUUUUCAUCAUUCAGAUGCUAAAGGUUAGGCACUUAGCUAGUAGCUCAUCUUUAAAUAAAAAAGUAAAAUUUUAAAAAUACAUUAAAAACUUUCCAUAAUCUUAAGACAAAUUUAAAUAAUCAUUUCCCUAAUAUACUUCCUUUCAAGCUUAUUCCUAAGGACAAAUAUAAGUGAGAGCUCAAAUUUUCCUAAAAGAAUAUUUCUUAGUUCCAUUUGCGGUUAGGAUCGAUAUUCUGCUUCUUUAGUUCCCUAAUGCUGUAGUUCAGUAACAAGCUAGUGACAAAUGCACUGAUACACGGACUAUGUCUAUAAUAUGAGAGGCAGAGAUAAAAGUUUAUUCCUCUGUGUGUAUGUAACAAGUUGUUAAUGGAUGAUCUAGUUACUACUUCCCUAUAGAAAGCCUAGAUAAGAUCUAGCAUAUAGGAUAACCAUUAUUUUAUUAAUAAAGAGAAGGAGGGUUAAAAUCUAAACUUUCCCUUAUUAGUUUUAUGCUAUGUAUGUAUAUAUAUAUUAGAGCAGUUGUAGAUUUACAGAAAAAUCAUGCAGAAAGUUCCGAGUUCCAUAUAUUCCUCCUUGUCUCCACAGUUUCCCUAUUAUUAACAUUUUGUAUGUGUGCUAUCUUUGUUACAACUGAUAAGACAUUAUUAUAAUUAUACUGUUAACUAUAGCUUAAGGUUUACAUAAGGGUUGACCUCUUUGUUAUUAUCCACUUUCAAAUACACAAUUCAGGGGUUAUAAUUACAUUCACAAAGUUGUACCUCUAUCACCAUCAUCCAACGCCAACACUUUUCCAUCACCCCAA